RNAcentral lists this ribosomal RNA (584 nucleotides) under Rhodotorula mucilaginosa. RNAcentral's name for it is "partial large subunit ribosomal RNA". It matches the Rfam family "Eukaryotic large subunit ribosomal RNA", at positions 72 to 664 of the family's 3401-position model. Lineage: Eukaryota; Fungi; Basidiomycota; Microbotryomycetes; Sporidiobolales; Sporidiobolaceae. The record is from RNAcentral.
GGAUUCCCCUAGUAGCGGCGAGCGAAGCGGGAAGAGCUCAAAUUUAUAAUCUGGCACCUUCGGUGUCCGAGUUGUAAUCUCUAGAAAUGUUUUCCGCGUUGGACCGCACACAAGUCUGUUGGAAUACAGCGGCAUAGUGGUGAGACCCCCGUAUAUGGUGCGGACGCCCAGCGCUUUGUGAUACAUUUUCGAAGAGUCGAGUUGUUUGGGAAUGCAGCUCAAAUUGGGUGGUAAAUUCCAUCUAAAGCUAAAUAUUGGCGAGAGACCGAUAGCGAACAAGUACCGUGAGGGAAAGAUGAAAAGCACUUUGGAAAGAGAGUUAACAGUACGUGAAAUUGUUGGAAGGGAAACGCUUGAAGUCAGACUUGCUUGCCGAGCAAUCGGUUUGCAGGCCAGCAUCAGUUUUCCGGGAUGGAUAAUGGUAGAGAGAAGGUAGCAGUUUCGGCUGUGUUAUAGCUCUCUGCUGGAUACAUCUUGGGGGACUGAGGAACGCAGUGUGCCUUUGGCGGGGGUUUCGACCUCUUCACACUUAGGAUGCUGGUGGAAUGGCUUUAAACGACCCGUCUUGAAACCGCGGCAGCCCA